AUGGCUUGGUCAGGGUCUGGGUGCUGUUCAUACCCCAGUUUCAGUCCCUGGUGCAUUUUUUUUUAAUUAUUUAUUUAUUUAUUUUUGAGCUGGAGUCUUGCUCUGUCACCCAGGCUGGAGUACUGUGGCGUGAUCUCUGCUCACUGCAACCUCCACCUUCUGGAUUCAAGCGAUUCUCCUGUCUCAGCCUCCUGAGCAGCUGGGAUUACAGGUGCAUGCCACCAAGCCCGGCUAAUUUUUGUAUUUUAGUGAAGACAGGGUUUCGUCACGUUGGCCAGGCUGGUCUCAAACUCCUGACCUCAGGUGAUCCUCUGGUGCAUGUUUUAAUGGGGCCAAAAGGAGAUGACACAAGGGCAAGGGGAACCAUAGGCAUCUGUGCAACUCCUGAGUUGCAUGAAAAGGAAGACAAGUUGGAAGAUUGUCAUUUCGAGGAGUGAGUACUUGUUCAUACCGAAAACUGCAGAGAGGACAAGCAAGAUAACCGAAAAAAAUCCAAGAGUCCUUUGGAGGCAGCUAUACGGACUUAAAAGGGCAAAAACCAGUUUAGGAUGGGGUGAGUAGUGAGUUGAAACUGGGGAUCUGGGGACAGUCCCUGCAGAUGACUCUAGAGCAG
RNAcentral lists this long non-coding RNA (613 nucleotides) under Homo sapiens (human). Its description in RNAcentral is "HSALNT0337346". Lineage: Eukaryota; Metazoa; Chordata; Mammalia; Primates; Hominidae. The record is from RNAcentral.